CGCACAUUGCGCCCCUUGGCAUUCCGAGGGGCCUGCCUGUCCGAGCGUCAUUCCAACCAUCAAGCCUAGCUUGGUCUUGGGCGCGGUCCCGGGACCGGCCCCUAACCAGUCGGCGGCUCCGUCCAGUCUUAGGCGUAGCACGUACACUCGUCUCGGCCUCGCGGCGGCGCGCCUGCCGUAAAACGCACCUAGGACCUUCACCUAGAACUCUGACCUCGGAUCAGGUAGGGGUACCCGCUGAACUUAA
Molecule: unclassified non-coding RNA, 247 nt
Filed under: Hysteriales sp.
Lineage: Eukaryota; Fungi; Ascomycota; Dothideomycetes; Hysteriales
Description: partial contains 5.8S ribosomal RNA, internal transcribed spacer 2, and large subunit ribosomal RNA
Source: RNAcentral